Molecule: ribosomal RNA, 468 nt
Filed under: uncultured bacterium
Lineage: Bacteria
Description: partial 16S ribosomal RNA
Rfam family: Bacterial small subunit ribosomal RNA
Source: RNAcentral
GACGAACGCUGGCGGCGGGCUUAACACAUGCAAGUCGAACGGAAAGGCCCUGCUUUUGUGGGGUGCUCGAGUGGCGAACGGGUGAGUAACACGUGAGUAACCUGCCCUUGACUUUGGGAUAACCUCAGGAAACUGGGGCUAAUACCGUAUAGGAGCUCCUCCUGCAUGGUGGGGGUUGGAACGUUUCGGCGGUUGGGGAUGGAUUCGCGGCUUAUCGGCUUGCUGGUGGGGGAGGGGCAUACGCAGCCUUUGACGGGUCGCCGGCCUGAGUGCGGGGACGGCGACCUUGGGACUGAGAGACGGCCCAGACUGCAACGGGGGGCAACAGUGGCGAACCUUACACAAUGGGACCAAGCCUGAUAAAGAAGCGCCGGGUGCGGAAAGACGGCCUUUGGGUUGUAAAACGCUUUAGCUUAUGACGACGCGUGAGUGACGGUACCGGGUAAAGAAGCACCGGCUAACUACGUG